GGCGGCUGGCGCCGAGUCCAGGGCGCGGAGCGGCUGGGCCCGCAGUCGCCGCGCUGUCCGAGCAGCGAGCGCCGAGCUCGCGCCAUGAGGGAGAUCGUGCACAUCCAAGCGGGCCAGUGCGGGAACCAGAUCGGCACCAAGUUUUGGGAAGUGAUCAGCGACGAACAUGGCAUCGACCCUGCUGGAGGCUACGUGGGUGACUCGACGCUCCAACUGGAGAGGAUCAACGUCUACUACAAUGAGUCAUCGUCUCAGAAGUAUGUGCCCAGGGCUGCCCUGGUGGACUUGGAGCCGGGCACCAUGGACAGCGUGCGGUCUGGGCCUUUCGGGCAACUCUUCCGGCCUGACAACUUCAUCUUCGGACAGACUGGUGCCGGGAACAACUGGGCCAAAGGCCACUACACGGAGGGCGCCGAGCUGGUGGACUCGGUCCUGGAUGUGGUGCGGAAGGAGUGCGAGCACUGCGACUGCCUGCAGGGCUUCCAGCUGACCCACUCGCUGGGCGGCGGCACCGGUUCUGGGAUGGGCACUCUCCUCAUCAGCAAGAUCCGCGAGGAGUACCCCGACCGCAUCAUGAACACCUUCAGCGUGAUGCCCUCGCCCAAGGUGUCGGACACGGUGGUGGAGCCCUACAACGCCACCCUCUCCGUGCACCAGCUGGUGGAGAACACGGACGAGACCUACUGCAUCGACAACGAGGCCCUGUACGACAUCUGCUUCCGCACCCUGAAACUGACCACGCCCACCUACGGGGACCUCAACCACCUGGUGUCGGCCACCAUGAGCGGGGUCACCACCUCCCUGCGCUUCCCCGGCCAGCUCAACGCUGACUUGCGCAAGCUGGCCGUGAACAUGGUGCCCUUCCCGCGCCUGCACUUCUUCAUGCCCGGCUUUGCCCCGCUCACCGCCCGUGGCAGCCAGCAGUACCGGGCGCUGACGGUGCCCGAGCUCACCCAGCAGAUGUUCGAUGCCAAGAAUAUGAUGGCGGCCUGUGACCCCCGCCACGGCCGCUACCUGACCGUGGCCGCCGUGUUCCGGGGCCCCAUGUCCAUGAAGGAGGUGGAUGAGCAGAUGCUGGCCAUCCAGAACAAGAACAGCAGCUACUUCGUGGAGUGGAUCCCCAACAACGUGAAGGUGGCCGUGUGCGACAUCCCGCCGCGCGGCCUGAAGAUGGCCGCCACCUUCAUCGGCAACAGCACGGCCAUCCAGGAGCUGUUCAAGCGCAUCUCGGAGCAGUUCUCAGCCAUGUUCCGGCGCAAGGCCUUCCUGCACUGGUUCACGGGUGAGGGCAUGGACGAGAUGGAGUUCACUGAGGCCGAAAGCAACAUGAACGACCUGGUGUCUGAGUACCAGCAGUACCAGGACGCCACAGCCGACGAGGGCGAGGAAGCUUUUGAGGACGACGAGGAGGAGGUCAACGAAUAGAGGCGCGUCCCUGCCUUGGACGCCGCGGCUCAGAGGUCCUUCCUCCAAUCCUGGAGCAGAGCAACCUGCAAUGCGAACACCUGCGGUUAAACAGUCACCCAGCAACGUCUCUCCAAUCUCAUCACCUCCUAUUUACAGUCAACCCCCUUCCAAAAAACGGUUUAGGACCACUGAAAAGAGAUAUUCACGGUCAUGUCACUUUAGAAUAAGAUGUGCAAAAAUCCUGGAAAAACACGUGUCCCCACGAAGGGCGCAGCUGCACAGUGUGGUGCAUCCACGUGGCCCGUGACUGUGCCCUGGACUUAGUGGGGGAGCUCUGUCCCUGAUGCCGCAGAAAGACAUCCUUGGGGAGGAGAGCCAGACGCAGUGUCCCUGGGCCCCACCUGCUUCCAAAGAGGGGAGGAGCUCCCUCUGGCUUACGGAGCAGAAAGAAAUACUGCAAGGAAGUGUGAGAGUGAUGCAAGUGACUGAGGGUGGGGGUGGGGGAAAGGGUGGAAACAGGGAAAUU
Molecule: RNA transcript, 1933 nt
Organism: Balaenoptera ricei (Rice's whale)
Lineage: Eukaryota; Metazoa; Chordata; Mammalia; Artiodactyla; Balaenopteridae
Gene: TUBB6
Gene name: tubulin beta 6 class V
Exons: 5
Source: RefSeq, a predicted model, not a curated record